This 433-nucleotide ribosomal RNA is filed under the name uncultured bacterium. Its description in RNAcentral is "partial 16S ribosomal RNA". It matches the Rfam family "Bacterial small subunit ribosomal RNA", at positions 29 to 507 of the family's 1533-position model. The record is from RNAcentral.
AACGAACGCUGGCGGCAUGCCUAACACAUGCAAGUCGAACGAGACCUUCGAGUCUAGUGGCGCACGGGUGCGUAACGCGUGGGAACCUGCCCUUAGGUUCGGAAUAACUCCCCGAAAGGGGUGCUAAUACCGGAUAAUUUCUUGGGACCAAAGAUUUAUCGCCUUUGGAUGGGCCGGCGUUGGAUUGGCUAGUUGGUAGGGUAAAAGCCUACCAAGGCGACGAUCCAUAGCUGGUCUGAGAGGAUGAUCAGCCACACUGGGACUGAGACACGGCCCAGACUCCUACGGGAGGCAGCAGUGGGGAAUAUUGGACAAUGGGCGAAAGCCUGAUCCAGCAAUGCCGCGUGAGUGAUGAAGGCCUUAGGGUUGUAAAGCUCUUUUACCCGGGAUGAUAAUGACAGUACCGGGAGAAUAAGCGCCGGCUAACUCCGUG